Molecule: long non-coding RNA, 1069 nt
Organism: Triticum aestivum (bread wheat)
Lineage: Eukaryota; Viridiplantae; Streptophyta; Magnoliopsida; Poales; Poaceae
Exons: 5
Source: RefSeq, a predicted model, not a curated record
AAACCCUAGUCCCUUUCUCAUUGCCCGCGCGCGCCGCCAUGGGCACCCGGCAGCGGCAUCCUCCCUGCCCGCCGCGCCAUACUGCCUCCCGCACGACCCUGUUGGCCCGCCGCUUCGCAUGCUCGAACCCUCAUCUCCUCCCAGGUGCUCUCUCCUCACCUCAUCGUCGUCGCGGCGGGCACCGAGCAGAUCUGGGGCUUAAUCUGCUCCAGAUCUUGGGGUGGCGGGUCUUAAUCUGCUGCAGAAGGGGGAGACACGCCAUGACCAAGCACUCCCCGGAGGCACUGGUGCUUAUCUCCCGUGGAAGCUUUCAGGGCGGGUUCCCGGCGAGCGGCGUCGUCAGCUCCGGCACUAACCUCGGAGUGCCCAGUCCUAGAUGAGCAUGACAGUAGAAAAUGACGAGAUUGCUACCAAGACAAGGCUGCUGUCACUUGAACUGUUGGAGGCGUGCGCCCGUGCUCAUGUGCCUCCAUGUGUGGCUCUCUAAUCAGAUCUAGGAACUGCCUCCCUUUGCAGCAGGGGCCAAACUAUGUGCCACCAUAUGCAUAGUCAGAUCUCUAAUUAGAUGACCUGCCUCCACUAUUGUACGCAUGUUAAGCUCGGACAUUUAAUUGCAUCUGGAAAGGCCUAAGAGAGUUAUCCCCCAUGGGAACAGAGACCAGGAUACAUUAUCUCUCAGGAUAUAUGCAGCAGAUUUUUUUUUUAGAAAAACAAAAAAGGGAGCCACCUAGACGCUGCAUCCUUGCAACUCGUCAGUUGCUUUGAUGUUCAAGCUGGAGGAUGAAGAUUGAAGGCUUUGAUGUACUGUACGAGAACGAAACAAGCUUCUUGGUGGAAGGCUAUGAGGAUGGAUAUCAGGAUAGAUAUGUAGUUGCCCACUACAAGUAGCCAAGGCAGAUGAUGUGCCUCUGAGAUAAAUUCCAGAAAACAGAGCAAGAAAUUUUUGCUCCAGAAGUGAACCAUAAUGUUUCCUCUAUUUAAUUAGUUACAUUAGCUUAUAGGAAACUUGAGUGGUCAUUUGUUCAUAACAGAUGAACUAUUUAUAUGUGAAAAUUAAUGAAUGUGUGUU